RNAcentral lists this ribosomal RNA (629 nucleotides) under Pantoea agglomerans. RNAcentral's name for it is "bacterial SSU rRNA". It matches the Rfam family "Bacterial small subunit ribosomal RNA", at positions 903 to 1533 of the family's 1533-position model. Lineage: Bacteria; Pseudomonadati; Pseudomonadota; Gammaproteobacteria; Enterobacterales; Erwiniaceae. The record is from RNAcentral.
AAAYGAAYUKACGGGGGCCCGCACAAGCGGUGGAGCAUGUGGUUUAAUUCGAUGCACGCGAAGAACCUUACCUACUCUUGACAUCCACGGAAUUUGGCAGAGAUGCCUUAGUGCCUUCGGGAACCGUGAGACAGGUGCUGCAUGGCUGUCGUCAGCUCGUGUUGUGAAAUGUUGGGUUAAGUCCCGCAACGAGCGCAACCCUUAUCCUUUGUUGCCAGCGAUUCGGUCGGGAACUCAAAGGAGACUGCCGGUGAUAAACCGGAGGAAGGUGGGGAUGACGUCAAGUCAUCAUGGCCCUUACGAGUAGGGCUACACACGUGCUACAAUGGCGCAUACAAAGAGAAGCGACCUCGCGAGAGCAAGCGGACCUCACAAAGUGCGUCGUAGUCCGGAUCGGAGUCUGCAACUCGACUCCGUGAAGUCGGAAUCGCUAGUAAUCGUGGAUCAGAAUGCCACGGUGAAUACGUUCCCGGGCCUUGUACACACCGCCCGUCACACCAUGGGAGUGGGUUGCAAAAGAAGUAGGUAGCUUAACCUUCGGGAGGGCGCUUACCACUUUGUGAUUCAUGACUGGGGUGAAGUCGUAACAAGGUAACCGUAGGGGAACCUGCGGCUGGAUCACCUCCUUA